GGGUCGCUAACUCAACGGUUAGAGUAAUCGCCUUUUAAGCGAGAGGUUCAGGGUUCAAGUCCCUGGCGACCCACCA
Molecule: transfer RNA, 76 nt
Filed under: Limnoraphis sp. WC205
Lineage: Bacteria; Bacillati; Cyanobacteriota; Cyanophyceae; Oscillatoriales; Sirenicapillariaceae
Description: tRNA-Lys
Rfam family: tRNA
About the family: Transfer RNA (tRNA) molecules are approximately 80 nucleotides in length. Their secondary structure includes four short double-helical elements and three loops (D, anti-codon, and T loops).
Source: RNAcentral